UUGUCCCACGUCACAUCCUUGACGUGGAUAACCCAAAGCAAAAAUCUGGGACGGUUCCCGAACCUGCAUGGAAAGAGAAUAAGAUAAAAGAGGAUUAACCGCCGUUGAUGUAGUGCGACGCCAAGCCUCGGCAUUCAUUUAUAACCGCUAGAUUACGCACUUAACGAAAAUUAAGGCGGUGUUAAAGCGGUUUAUCCUAAUCCGUUGAGUAUUUGGAAUUCGAAGCGAAUUGAAAUUUGAAAUUGCUUUGGAAAGCUUCGCCUUCGCCCUCUAUAAAAGGGAAUGUCGACCGUCGAGGGUUUUAAUUUCAAGUUGCUUGGAAGGACGGUGUGGACUUGCUUUCUCUGUUCUUAUUUAGUCUCUCUAGAGAGGUAUUUAUGCUUGGGAAGAGAAGAAAGACUUGGGCGGUGCUUGUGACUGAUCUAUUCAACAUCCAAUAUGGCUUCAUGGUGACUGGUGUUUCUUGGACAUAAAGGUUGCGUAGAUCACUAAUUUGCAUAUGGUCUCAGAAGUUUGAUCAAGUCUACCUAGAGACUAAUAGAACUUGUGUAUGCCUACCGCUCUUUGGCCUUCAUAGGUGGUUUUUCCAAGUUGACGUUCUCAUUCAGUUUUAGGUGGCUCACUGAUUAUUAAUCUGGUUUUAUUUUCUUUUUCAAGCUAUAUGAACAAAGAGUGUUUCAAGAAUGCUAGAUAUCAGUUUGUUUGGAGUUUUGCAUAUGCUAUAGUUAGAUUUCUAAUAUGCUACUAUCUUUGUUUGUUUAAAUAAUAUUGGUCUUCCGAUAAAAAAAGGAAUGCAAGAACAAAAUUGUAAUUAUUGGUGUUUCAACAGUAUUGGAAUUUUUUUUUUUUAGUAACAAAAUUGUUUCUUUAGUUUUUAUCACUUAAAUGAGAUAUGAUGGGUUAGUCAUGUAAUGCUCUAAUAAUGAAUUGUGAUAAAGUUAGUGAUGGAAGAAGUGAGAAGGGAAGUAGGAGACCUAAAAUUACACGUAGGGUGCUAUUAAAAGAAUUACAAUUUUUGAACAUUGAUACGGAAAGUUAAAAAAAAAAAAAAAAAUUCCUAUAGUUGAUACCAACUAGUUUGAGUUUUAGGCUUACUUGUCGUUGUCAUUGUAUCGUAGUUAAGCUUGAAUUGUGCAAAACUAUUCAAGCAAUUUGAAUUUUAAUUCUUGUGUAGGUCAAUUUGUGAUUAUUGUUGGAAUUAUUGUCAAGAAAAACAAUUCCUUAAAUAUGUUUUGUCUUUGCAUUUAUUUGAAUUUACUGAAAAUUUAUUAGUUAUGUAUAAGAUUAUGAAUGAUAACAUUUGCUAGAGAAUGAAUGUAGCACAUAUAGGAAAUAAAUUGAGAGAGGGUCAUUUAAGAUGAUUUGAUUACGGACAACGUAGAGAAUCAAAUGUUGUGAUAAGUUAGUAGGGGAAGGAAUGAGAAGGAAAGGGAAUGGAAAGGUCUAAAGAUGAUGUGGAGGAGAAUAGUAUCACAUGAUUUAUAAGUUUUGGAUAUUGAGGGAAAUUUGGUGUUUAAUAGAGUUGAAUGGUAAAUGAUUUAUAUAGUAUAGUCAACCCCAACUAGUUUGGGAUUAAGUCUUAGUUGUUGUUUAGUAACUCCAAAACUUCUACCUUUUGAACUAUUUUUUCAAUUGCUUCUAAACUGGUUCCCCUUUUUUAUCAAAAAAAGGAUUUUUUUUCACCUGCCAACCGCAAACUCCAAAUGGUUCAUAUAUCAGGAGAUCACCUGUGGAACCUGAAACUGUAGAGUUUCUUACUGCGUGUCAAGGCCUGAAUGGUUCAAUCUUCAAGUUGAACAACGCGUGUAUCAGGAAUUUAGAUGACAGGUCUUAAUUGAUAGCUUUUGAGGGUUGAAAAUCCACGCAUAAACAAGUCUCAAGUGUCCAAGUUAACAGCGUGAACACACAAGUCUUAUAUCCUACUCUUAGUUUGAGGUCAAAUAGCAGAUCGAUUAUUAUGGGAUGGGUCCUCUGCUCAACAAGCCCAAGAAAGGAAGAAGGUUGAUGUUAAUAAGUUGGAAUCUAGGGCAAAAGAAUUGUAUGUUGUUUUGCAAAGCCACUGUUGAGGUUCAUUUUAUGACAGGCCAUAAAGGAUUAUUAGAAAUUGAUAAGAGUGCCCAUUCAAGCAUAUAUCAGUUAAUGAUAAAGAAAUAUUAUGCUUUCUUGUUCAUGGCAGAAAUAAUAAAUUGAAGCAUGUAUCAUAGAAUCGUCCUUUUUAAACAUGUAAAGGUCUUGUGAACAGAUUCUGAUUAUCUCUGCAAAUUCAUAAAGAAAUUAGGCAUUUCUGGGCUCCUUGGCA
RNA transcript from Hevea brasiliensis (rubber tree), 2299 nucleotides. It is a transcript of the gene named histone-lysine N-methyltransferase, H3 lysine-9 specific SUVH5, with no coding region annotated. The transcript has 3 exons. The record is from RefSeq and is a predicted model, not a curated record. Lineage: Eukaryota; Viridiplantae; Streptophyta; Magnoliopsida; Malpighiales; Euphorbiaceae.